RNAcentral lists this ribosomal RNA (374 nucleotides) under Odontozona meloi. RNAcentral's name for it is "partial 16S ribosomal RNA". It matches the Rfam family "Bacterial large subunit ribosomal RNA", at positions 2048 to 2598 of the family's 2925-position model. The record is from RNAcentral. Lineage: Eukaryota; Metazoa; Arthropoda; Malacostraca; Decapoda; Stenopodidae.
CUGUCUUGUUUAUAAAGAUUGAAUUUGACUUUAAAGUGAAAAGGCUUUAAUGAGAGAAAGGGACGAUAAGACCCUAUAAAACUUUAUAUAAAGUAGAAUAUUUUUUAUAAUUAUUAGUUUAAUAAAAAAUAAUCUAUUAAUAUUUUAUUGGGGCGGUAGGAAUAUAAUAGAUAACUGUUCUUUAAUUAUAACAUGUCUUGUUGAUUAGGAUGAUCCUGUAUAAAGAUUAAAAGGUAAAGUUACUUUAGGGAUAACAGCGUAAUUUUUUUUAAGAGUUCUUAUCGUCAAAAAAGAUUGCGACCUCGAUGUUGAAUUAAAAUUUCUUUAUGGUGCAGCAGCUAUAAAAGAAGGUCUGUUCGACCUUUAAAAUUUUA